CUCCUACGGGAGGCAGCAGUGAGGAAUAUUGGUCAAUGGUCGGAAGACUGAACCAGCCAUGCCGCGUGAAGGAAGAAUGUCCUAUGGAUUGUAAACUUCUUUUGUAAGGGAGCAAUAAGUUCCAUGCGUGGGAUGAUGAGAGUACCUUACGAAUAAGCAUCGGCUAACUCCGUGCCAGCAGCCGCGGUAAUA
Molecule: ribosomal RNA, 192 nt
Filed under: uncultured bacterium
Lineage: Bacteria
Description: partial 16S ribosomal RNA
Rfam family: Bacterial small subunit ribosomal RNA
Source: RNAcentral